UGAGGAAUAUUGGUCAAUGGGCGAGAGCCUGAACCGGCCAAAUCGCGUGAAGGAAGACUGCCUUAUGGGUUGUAAACUUCUUUUAUACAGGAAUAAAAAAUGGGGACGUGUCCCUUAUUGCAUGUACUGUAUGAAUAAGCAUCGGCUAACUCCGUGCCAGCAGCCGCGGUAAUACGGAGGAUGCGAGCGUUAUCCGGAUUUAUUGGGUUUAAAGGGUGCNCAGGCGGGCUUUUAAGUCAGCGGUGAAAUCUCGGGGCUUAACUCCGAAACUGCCGUUGAAACUGGGAGUCUUGAGUAUGGAUGAAGUAGGCGGAAUUCGUUGUGUAGCGGUGACAUGCUUAGAUAUAACGAGGAACUCCGAUUGCGUAGGCAGCUUACUAAGCCAUAACUGACGCUCAAGCACGAAAGCGUGGGGAUCAAAACAGGAUUAGAUACCCUGGUAGUCCACGCCGUAAACGAUGAUUACUAGUUGUAUGCGAUAUACCGUAUGUGACUAAGCGAAAGGCGAUAAGUAAUCCACCUGGGGAGUACGCCGGCAACGGUGAAA
Molecule: ribosomal RNA, 547 nt
Filed under: uncultured bacterium
Lineage: Bacteria
Description: partial 16S ribosomal RNA
Rfam family: Bacterial small subunit ribosomal RNA
Source: RNAcentral